GAGUUUGAUCCUGGCUCAGAACGAACGCUGGCGGCGUGCCUAACACAUGCAAGUCGAACGUGAUCCAGAGCUUGCUCUGGUGAAAGUGGCGCACGGGUGAGUAACGCGUGGAUAACCUACCCUGGUAUCCGGGAUAACAUUCCGAAAGGGGUGCUAAUACCGGAUAAGCCCACGGGCUCUUUGGAGCUUGCGGGAAAAGGUGGCCUCUAUUUAUAGGCUACUGUAUCAGGAUGGGUCCGCGUACCAUUAGCUAGUUGGCGGUGUAACGGACCACCAAGGCGACGAUGGUUAGCUGGUCUGAGAGGAUGAUCAGCCACACUGGGACUGAGACACGGUCCAGACUCCUACGGGAGGCAGCAGUGGGGAAUUUUGCGCAAUGGGGGAAACCCUGACGCAGCAACGCCGCGUGAGUGAUGAAGGCCUUUGGGUCGUAAAGCUCUGUCAGAGGGGAAGAAAUGAUAUAGUGCUAAUACCACUUUAUCUUGACGGUACCCUCAAAGGAAGCACCGGCCAACUCCGUGCCAGCAGCCGCGGUAAUAC
Molecule: ribosomal RNA, 540 nt
Filed under: uncultured Geobacteraceae bacterium
Lineage: Bacteria; Pseudomonadati; Thermodesulfobacteriota; Desulfuromonadia; Geobacterales; Geobacteraceae
Description: bacterial SSU rRNA
Rfam family: Bacterial small subunit ribosomal RNA
Source: RNAcentral